UACGGAGGGUGCAAGCGUUAUCCGGAUUUACUGGGUUUAAAGGGUGCGUAGGUGGGUCUGUAAGUCAGUGGUGAAAUCUCCGGGCUUAACCCGGAAACUGCCAUUGAUACUAUAGGUCUUGAAUUAUCUGGAGGUGAGCGGAAUAUGUCAUGUAGCGGUGAAAUGCUUAGAUAUGACAUAGAACACCAAUUGCGAAGGCAGCUCACUACGGAUGUAUUGACACUGAGGCACGAAAGCGUGGGGAUCAAACAGG
RNAcentral lists this ribosomal RNA (253 nucleotides) under uncultured bacterium. RNAcentral's name for it is "partial 16S ribosomal RNA". It matches the Rfam family "Bacterial small subunit ribosomal RNA", at positions 524 to 776 of the family's 1533-position model. The record is from RNAcentral.